UAACGACUCUCGGCAACGGAUAUCUCGGCUCUCGCAUCGAUGAAGAACGUAGCGAAAUGCGAUACUUGGUGUGAAUUGCAGAAUCCCGUGAACCAUCGAGUCUUUGAACGCAAGUUGCGCCCGAAGCCUUUAGGCYGAGGGCACGYCUGCCUGGGCGUCACG
Molecule: ribosomal RNA, 162 nt
Filed under: Eremophila mackinlayi subsp. spathulata
Lineage: Eukaryota; Viridiplantae; Streptophyta; Magnoliopsida; Lamiales; Scrophulariaceae
Description: 5.8S ribosomal RNA
Source: RNAcentral